CCAUCCGCAAAUCCACAAUAGUAAGAGCAUUUCUAUAGCGCUUUGAGGUUUCUCAGCAGCCUUGUCCUAUUACCAACUUCACUCAUCACUCCCAACUGGCCAAGGGCCCCAAUGCAUACUUUUGAUAUAUAAAGCACAGAGUUCCCCCAGAAGAGAUAACGUUUGGCAGAUGAUCAAGUUAAUAAAAAUGUAUCUUGGUGAAGGACCAACCAGCCAUUAAUGAAGAUGGCCUCUUCCUUCUCGAGCUUUGUUUAGAGACAGAAGUUUAAUGACUUGAUUUUUUUAAAAGUCCACGUAUUAUUUUGACUGUCUCUGUACUUCUAGGCACAGAGCUUCAAAGCAAUUUCACUCUUAAAAGAAGCCCAACCAAAAACAACGAAAAGUUUACCAUGAAGAUCAGAUAAGUCAAUAAGCAUUUACACCUACUAUGUGAAAGGCACUGUGCUAAACACUGGGAAUUCAAAGAAACAUCAAAAGGAAAAGACAGCUUGGGGAAAAAGAAAGAAUGCUGGAAACAGGCAGAUAAAGUGAGUGAGUAUAGCUAUAAAGAAGAUAUAGAUGUAGAUAUAAAGGAUAUAUUUAGAUACAGAGGAGAGAGAGAAUUAGGUUCUCCUACCAAUUAAUCUUGGACAAGACCCAAACCUCAAGUUUCCUGAACUCACCAUCUGGUAGGAAUGUUCCUGAAAAUCAAAUGAGAUGUCUAAUGUAUUACAUAGUUUUAGAACUAUAAUGCAAUAUACAAUUGCAAUUAUUUAUCAGAAACAUACACCUUUAGAGUCAGAAUGACCUUAGCAGUGAGUCAGUCCAACUCUUCCAUUUUACAGAGAAGAAAGAGAACAGACUCAGAAAAACUAAACAACCUACCUAAGGUCAUAUGAACAAUAAUGAUGAACUAGUGUGUGAAUCCACCAGGUCCCCUGAAUCUAAGUCCAGUGCUCAGUUCUCUUUCCAGUAUAAGAAGUUGUCUCCAUGUUUGGAAGAGGAGGAAGAGAAAUUGCUACCUCUGUCCAGCAGAAGUUUGGAUGAAAUAUGGAGAGAACAGUAAGUAGCAACCACCACCUUGAAGGAGACUGGGAAGAAAGACAUAAGUGAUAAAGGAAAUGAUGUGAGAAACUACCCCAUCUCCUCCUGUGUUUCACAUGGAAGCCUUCACCGAGUUCUGCAUACCACCCCCAAUUUCACCCGAGGCUGCUACUGACCCCCUGGAUCAUUCCAGCACCUCCCAAGGGAUGGUGUCACCCAUUUUGGGAACCUAUGAUAGAGUUUGUAGAAAUAUCCACCGGAGCCAGUCACUGAGUCCUUGGAGAAGUAGUAGCUGCAUCAUGAGCUAACAGACGUAUUGAAACUAACUAGACUCACCAAGUAAAGGUAGCUUCAGGAUUCUACAAGGGCACUGACCCCCAGACUCCAGCAGAGAAACCUGCCUAAAUGGGAACUUCAUGAAGGCUGAAUGAGAGGAGAAAAGAACUGCCAGUAACCACAAGCUGUGAGUUUACUG
Molecule: non-coding RNA, 1498 nt
Organism: Phascolarctos cinereus (koala)
Lineage: Eukaryota; Metazoa; Chordata; Mammalia; Diprotodontia; Phascolarctidae
Source: RefSeq, a predicted model, not a curated record